RNAcentral lists this ribosomal RNA (253 nucleotides) under uncultured bacterium. RNAcentral describes it as "partial 16S ribosomal RNA". It matches the Rfam family "Bacterial small subunit ribosomal RNA", at positions 524 to 776 of the family's 1533-position model. The record is from RNAcentral.
UACGUAGGGUGCAAGCGUUGUCCGGAAUUAUUGGGCGUAAAGAGCUCGUAGGCGGUCUGUUGCGUCGGCUGUGAAAACCCGGGGCUCAACCCCGGGCCUGCAGCCGAUACGGGCAGACUAGAGUUCGGCAGGGGAGACUGGAAUUCCUGGUGUAGCGGUGAAAUGCGCAGAUAUCAGGAGGAACACCGGUGGCGAAGGCGGGUCUCUGGGCCACUACUGACGCUGAGACUCGAAAGCAUGGGGAGCAAACAGG